UGUCAUCUCGGUGUUACACUCUGUCCCUUGUUACAAGAAACUAGAUCUCUCUUCUACGGUGUAAAGAGUUUCACUUGGAAGGAGGUGAAAGAGAAGUUGAAUAGAAGUAUGAUUGUAUUUUAUAGGUAUUCCAUUUCAUUAACUCUAUUGUAUUGAAGUUCAGCUUUAAAAAGGUCGUCCCUUUAGUUAUAUAUGAAUGCUUUUUUUUUAUUUUUAUAACUUGGUAUCUAACCCGAAGGACAGACUAGUUCAAAGGGAUCAAUUCUACCGUUCACUAAUAGAGGGGCUCAUUUAAAACCGGUGCAGAACCCUGUAUGGACUGACCCAAGAAUUGCUGACAAGGGGAUUUGAACUUGAGACCUUGAGGGGUAAGCCUUUUAAUUGUGGUCAAACUC
RNAcentral lists this long non-coding RNA (395 nucleotides) under Actinidia chinensis (golden kiwifruit). RNAcentral describes it as "long non-coding RNA (ACHI_LNC003744)". The record is from RNAcentral. Lineage: Eukaryota; Viridiplantae; Streptophyta; Magnoliopsida; Ericales; Actinidiaceae.